AUUUUAAUAGCUUAUUUAAAAAAGUAUAAUAUUGAAGAUAUUAAGAUGGUUUUUUUUCGACCUUAAG
Molecule: transfer RNA, 67 nt
Filed under: Cautires griseus
Lineage: Eukaryota; Metazoa; Arthropoda; Insecta; Coleoptera; Lycidae
Description: tRNA-Phe
Source: RNAcentral